UGCGUCAGUCUAUUCAAAUCGAUCACCAUCCUCAUGAUGAUCCUAUGAUCGAGAGUAUUUAGGAAUCAAAUAUAUAUCACUAAUUCUCAAUAUUUUGAGAAUAUAUAUCAAAACCAAUUCCAUAGAUGAUUCAAGGAUACAUCACACUUAAAUAAAAAAUAAAUUUACUCUUUUAUUAAUCAAAUCAAUGUAUUGAGUAUAAAA
RNAcentral lists this long non-coding RNA (204 nucleotides) under Elaeis guineensis (African oil palm). Its description in RNAcentral is "long non-coding RNA (EGUI_LNC066262)". Lineage: Eukaryota; Viridiplantae; Streptophyta; Magnoliopsida; Arecales; Arecaceae. The record is from RNAcentral.